GAGAUGAUUGUGUGAGGUUGCUUUGGCUGAGAAGAGAAGCCAUUACUUCCUUUUUAAAACAUUUUUAUCUUUAUUAUUUAUUUAUUAUAAUUUCAGAUGCUUUUUUUCUUUUUCUUUUUUUAAUUGAGGUUUAGUUGACAUAUAACAUUAUAUUAGUUUCAGGUGUACAACAUAAUGAUUCAAUAUUUGCAUACAUUGCAAAGUGAUCACAAUAAUAAGUCUAGUUAAUGUCUGUCACCACUCAGUUACAAAAUUUUUUUUACUAUUUUUUCCGGUGAUGAGGACUUCUAAGAUCUACUUUUUUAGCAACUUUCGAAUAUGUAAUACAGUGUUAUUAACUAUAGUCAGCAUGCUGUACAAUACAUCCCCAUGACUUAUUUAUUUUAUAACAGGAAGUUUGACCCAUUUGACCAACUUAAUCCCUUACCAUCCCACCCCACUCCCUACCCCAGCAACCACCAAUCUGUUCUCUGUAUCUAUGAGCUUGGUUUUUUGUUUGUUUUGUUUUUUAGGUUCCACAUAUAAGUGAGACCCUAUGGCAUUCUUUCUUUUCUGACUUACUUUACUUAGCAUAAGGCCCUCAGUUUCCAUCCACGUUGUUGCAAACGGCAAGAUUUUGUCCUUUUUAUGGCUGAGUAGUAUUCCAUAGCAUAUAUGCCACAUCUUUAUUCAUUCAUCCAUCGAUGGACACUUAGAUUAUUUCCAUAUCUUGGCUAUUGUAAAUAAUGCUGCAACAAACAUGAGGGUGCAUAUAUCUUUUUGACUUUGUGUUUUCAUUUUCUUUAGAUAAAUACUCAGAAGUGGAAUUGCUGGAUCCUAUAGUAAUUCUAUUUUUAAUUUUUUGAGAAAGCUCCAUACUGUUUUCUAGAGAUGGUGCACCAAUUUACAUUCCCACCAACAGUGCACAAGGGUUCCCUUUUCUCCACAUCCUCACCAACACUUGUUAUCUCUUGUCUUUUUGAUGACAGUCACUCUGACAGGUGUGAGGUGAUAGCUCACUGUGGUUUUGAUUUGCAUUCUUCUGAUGGUUAGUAAUGUUGACCAUCUUUUCAUUUGCCUGUUGGCCAUCUGUUUGUCUUCUUUGGAAAAAAUCUAUUCAGAUCCUCUGCCCAUUUUUUAGUUGGAUUGUUUGUUUUUUUGCUGUUGAGUUGUAAGGGUUACGUGCUUUAGAUAUUAACCCCUUUUCCAAUAUAGGAUUACAAAUAUUUUCUCCCAUUCAGUAAGUUGCCUUUUCAUUUUGUUGAUGGUUUCCUUUGCUGUGUAGGAGGUUUUUAGUUUGAUGUAGUCCUACAUGUUUGUUUUUGCUUUUGUUGCCUUCACUUUUGGUGUCAAAUUCAAAAAAUCAUCAUCAAGACUGAUGUCAAGGAGCUUACUGCCUAUGCUUUUUUCUAGGAGUUUUAUGGUAUCAGGUCUUGCAAUCAAGUCUUUAAUUCAUUUCGAGUUAGUUUUUGUGUAUGGUGUAAGAUAGUGGUCCAGUUUCAUUCUUUUGCAUGUGACUGUUCAGUUUUCCCAUCACCAUUUGUUGAAAACACUGUCCUUUCUCCAUUGUAUAUUCUUGGCUCCUUUGUCAUAAAUUAAUCGACCAUAUAUGUGUGGGUUUACUUCUGGGCUCUCCAUUCUGUUUUAUUGAUCUACAUAUCUGUUUUCUUGGCAAUACUAUACUGUUUUGAUGACUACCACUUUGUAAUAUAGUUUGAAACCAGGGAACGUGAUGCCUCCAGCUUUGUGACAUCUCUUCUUUUGAUGGCAUUCCCACUGAGUGCUUAGCACAGCACCAGUACAAGGACAGACUCCAUGUUUCUGUGAAUAUGUUUCUCUCUGUUUAAGGAGAUAGCACAUAAACAUAUGAAACAAUGAACAAAAUAGCUUGGGCACUGAUAUCACAAUAUGGUGGAAAGAGAACACCUUGAAGUCAGACAUAGCUUCAGUCCUACUUUUUGCUCCUACCAGCGACAUGAUUUUAGGCAAAUUAUUAACCUCAUCAAGUCUCUCUCUUUUAAUUUAACCUGAGGGAAAAAAUAGAGAUAUGGAUACCUUUUUUCCCUCCAGUUUGUUAGGAUUAAAUAGAAAAACCUGAAUGGAAAUUAAAAAAAGAGAAAAGAAAAAAGAAAAACUUGAACAGUAAUAGGUACUUAAUGCGUGUUUCAAGAUUCAAGAGAGUGAUUCUGACUUAGCGAAGGAAACAGCCUACCCAUUUGUUCUGAUUGUUUCCAGGCUGGAGAUGGAUGGCACAAAGCUUGGAAGUGUUAGUUUUGUGUUACCGAAUAAUCAGAGACUAGAAAACAUACAAUGUCAAAUCAUAAAGUAUAGGCAAGUGUACACAGAAUUAGAGAUGAAUACAUGCUUUUGGGAAACUGGAAACUAUUCUUCUCAGAAGGCUGAUAGAACGUGGAUAAGCAUGUGGGAGAAGGGGUGUGACAGGAAACUGGAAAUAUCUAUUACCUUUCUCUUCUGCACUGAAAUUCUCUUCACUGGCCAGGAUCUGGGCUAAGGCAGCCAGCCAAGCCAGAUGAUCUUUCUGUAUUCCUUUUCCUGGUUCAAUUUCUGCAGGACUCUGACUCCCAGCCAGGGUAACUCAAAAGGUCUCUGCUUUCGGCAGCGGGUUCUAUUGCCAACUUCUGUCUCCACAUCUUCAUGCUAGACGUUUACACUGCCAAAUGCACCGGACGAAAAGCAGAAUGACUCUUUGAUUUCUUAGAAGCAGCAAGAUGGAGAAACUGAAGAACCCAAAUUCUGGGAUUUAAGAGCUUGCACUCUUCACUACACAAAACUUAUUUUAAGUUGAAUUAAAAAGUAAGUAAAAUAGGAAAUUGCAUUUUUUAUUAUGGAAAACUUCAAGAUUGCAUAGUGAACCCUCAGGUAUCCAUCGCCCAGCUUCAAUGAUCAUUAGCACGUGGCCAGUGUGGCUUUCUCUGUGUCCUCUAUCUUCUGCCAUCUCUACUACAAAGCAAGUCCCGGACAUCACAUUAUUUCAUUCAAAGGAAUUUUUAAAUUAAAACAAAUACACUUAUCAGGAUGAGUAUUAUGAUCCUGUGUUACAUAAAUAUUAAUGAUAUCUUAGAAUUUUUAAAGCACAUUUAGGUGCAUCCUCUCAUUUAAUUCUCAUAAUCUUUGAAUUACUAAUCUUUAUUCCCAUGUUAGAAAUGAGAAAACCACGACUUUGAGAGAGAUUGGUCAUUUCUAAGUUAUAAAACAAAUAGUGACAGAGUUGGGACUGAAAUUUAAGCCAUCAGAUUCCGAAUCUUAGCCUCGUUCUCUCACACCACUGUCACUUUACAGACUGAUAGUUGUGAAUGAACUUCAGCCAUGUCACCAUGGGAGCGAGAGAGAGGGAAUUUAAAAUGGUUCAUGCAUUUUACAACCUAAUCUUCCAUUCUCCUGAGGAUUUCUGGAUUUCAUCAUCCUUACAUCAAUAAUUGUGUUUUGUCCUGUGUUGUGAAAUUGGACUAUCAGAACCUUGUAGGAAUUAUUCUUAGUAUGAAUGAGACACUGGGUUUGGAUUAGGUUGAGAUGUAAUUAGCACAUUCUUUCUCUUGGUUAAGUUGAUUCACUUCUCUGUGCUACAGAUAGAAUUGAUAUGCUAACUCAGUACCUGAAUGCCGUGUUUAUGCAUUUACUUUUAUGCUUAAACUUGCCAUGCCUUAGGGGAUACCAAGAUGAAUAAAGCAGACUCUGGCCUCAAGAAACUUACAAUCUAGUGGUAGGGAAAAUAUAUACAUAAGUGUCCAUAAUACAAAUAAAAUGCUACACGUCAAGGUCAUAUAUAGAUAAGUUUAGAAGUUCAGAAGAUAAUAAAAAUAACCAUUGUUUAUGAAUAACUUCCCUGUUUAAGCAACAGGAAUGUGUGUAAUUUAUUUUAGUGUUUCAACACACAACUUAAAAGGCAAAUAUUAUUAACCCCAAAUAUAGAUGACAAAGUUGAGGCUCAGGUGGAAGGUGACAACUGAAUUGGCCUUAAGGGAUGAGCAGGCUUUGCAUAUCUGGUGAGUUGGGCAUGUCAGGAAACAGAAUUUGCUACUCCAAAAUGUGUCUCUUUGGCUUAAUUAUUUUUAGGAACAAAAGACUCAGGAAGAAACUUUGACUUUCCCCUAAUUGCCUAAAAGCAUUUAAGAUAGAAGGCCUGUUUGAGGAAGGAGCUAAUAUCAUAGAAAACUACAGUAUAUUAUGAUCUAAGUGUGGUAGACAAGGAGGAACCUAGCAAGGCCUUUUUGAUCAGUCUUCUCCAUGUCUCAUUGUCUCUGCAAGGCAUGGCAAACAUUUGUUUACCAAACAUUGGCUUUUCCAUCUCCAUAUGAAUUGCCUUCCUCCCCUUUGAAGUCCCAAACCACUACCCCCAACAUCCUCCUUUGUCUUUAGCUGAAGACGGUAUUUAAGGUGGUGGCUUCAAGGAUUUUGGUGAGUUACUCAGCUUUCCUGGAUUUCUCCCAUAUAUACGUGUUAUUAAAUUUGCUUGAUUUUCUCCUAUUAUUCUGUCUCAUGUCGAUUUAAUUCUUAAACCAGGCAGAAGAACCUAAAAGGGCAAAGGAAUAUUUUUUUCUCCCCUACAGGCAUCCGAGGUGAAGGAAAAUGCCACAGAGAAGCACUGAAACAGCCAGGGAUCUGGGAAGCAGAGAAACCUCCCAGGAUCAGGGAUCAGGGAAAAGCAAAUGGAAAGAUCAAAAGCAUAUUCAAGGCCUCUAAUUUGUAAUGAUGAGGAAAGACACUGAGUGAAUGUAUAUUGUCAAGUGUAGGCUGAACAAGGACAGUGUGGUUUCAGUGAAGUGUCUGCUGAUCAGUGAAAUUCCCCCGGACCCUCUGAGUGAUGUGAGUUUUUGGGGAGGCCGUGACCUUAGAAUGUACGAAACUCUCUGAUUUGUGCCUUUUAUUUUCACCUGUGGUUCUUUCUCUUUUUUUCAUUCUAGACCGUCUGCGGUCAGCUCUCUGCUAUAAGCAAUUUGCUAGCAGCUGAGCUUUAGUUAAAGCCUUGUAAAUCACCUAUAUAAUUAUAUUACCAACAAAGAAUAAUUCAGCAGUGAGUUAGGCUAAUGAAGACAUUAUUAUUUUAUAUUGUUUAACCAUCUUUGUUCCGUUUAGAGUAGCCUAAGCAAUUUGUUUUUAUUAUUAUCCAGGUGUCCCCUCUAUUAACUAAAUUUUAUUUUUUAAUGUAAGAAUUAAUAGAAGUUAUGGCAGUGAAACUAUUCUGUAUGAUACUAUAAUGGUGGAUACAUGUUAUUAUUCAUUUGUCAAAAUCCAUAGAAUGUACAAUCCCAAGAAUGAACCCUAAUGUAAACUAUGGACUUUGAGUGAUAAUGACGUGUCCUUGUAGCUUCAUCAGUUGUAACAAAGACACCACUCUGGUGGGGCAUGUUGCUAGUCAGAGAGGGCAUGCAUGUGUGGGGGCAGGAGACACAUGGAAAAUCUCUGUCCUCUCUGCUCAGUUUUCCUGCGAAACUAAAACUGCUCUAAAAAAAUGAAGUUUAUUAAAGAAGUUAAUAGAAGCAGAAAACUGACAAAAGCCUGAAGCCGUCUAUCUAGGCAAUUUCAUGUGGGAGUUCAGAAGUUGGUGGUAAAGGCAGGGGUAACAGUCAUAGUGCAACUGGGAGCAGGUGGGAGCCUAGGUUCUUCCAGCUGCACCGGGGGUGGCGGAGGUUCCUUAGAAAGAAUAAAUUUUCCUGUGGUGUGAGAAGAGACAGCUAAUGAGAACACGAGAGAGGAGAGAUCUUGGAGUCAGAGCAAAUAUUAAAGAAUUCUAGAAGCGCAACAUUCAUUGUCCUGUACCAUCCAGAACUGAUGCGCACUGAACCCUUCGUCUAUCCCUUGCUUUCCAAAAAAGACUUUUAGUGAUGUCUUCCCUUAGGAAUGCAUCUUGAUUUUGUAAUGGAAGUUGGCUAUUAGGUUGUUUUUUAUUUUUACCUUAAAGUUUCAAACACAAAGAAAAACGUGCAUGUCUAAUCUAAUCUGUCCAAUUCUGCCAAAUCUCUCUCUCUCAAUAUUUUGUUAGAAAAUUGUGACAGUGAAAUAUAUGCGUAUCCCUGGCAUAUACAUGCCCUUUGUUCUCACACGCCUGUUUGACCUAAGUACUUUUCACCAUCACUUACUCUUCCAUCUCAACUCGUUUGUUUUGAGGUUGCUUUUUUAUUUUCACUGAAUAUUUUCUUUUGAGUCUUAGUAUUAAAAACUAUAACAUGACAAAAAUCUGGAAAAAAAAGCAAGAGCACUGUAUUGAGACUUGGAACCAGGUUUCUUUGUUAUUUCUAUAUUGCUGGUUUCUGAAGGCCUCGCUGUCCCCAUCUUGUACAUCUUCAUUAGCCACAGACAUAUUUACAUUCAUUUAGGGGCCUGGUUGCUUGGCCAAUAAUUUCAUUUCUUUAAAGAACUUUAUGACUUGUAAUUACAGGAAGGGACUAAAUAAGCCAGGAAAUGAGGAUUCCCGAUCGAGCCUUCAGUCACUUUCCUAGAGUGUUAGUGAAAUCAAUUAAGUCCUCUUGGCAUAAUUCUUACCGUAAACCUGGAGUCAUCCAUGUCAAUCUUAUUAAAGACUAGGAAAGAAAAUUCAUAUGGAUCUGUUGAAGGGGCACAAAAUAACUAAAUAUCUUGGGUUCAGCUACUAUACUUUUAGCGAAAAUAAUAAUAUUUAAUUUUAAAAUAUUUUAUUGUCUAAAAGCAAUCUGAAAUUUUUCUACACAAUCUCUUUAUGUUGAAAUUUACUAUCUCUUACGAGAAAUAUAGCUUCAGAAUUUUCUCUUGCAUCACCAUCUGCCAAUCACAGAGAAAUUCAGUGAAUGCUUAUGAAACUAGAAUAAUCACCUAUGUCUUUGAUGUCCUUGAAUUCUUUUUACUUCCAGCAUAAUAUUUUAUUAAUUUUUUUCCCAUGCUCUAUAAAAUGUCUAUGAUGUCUCUAUCUAAAGAUCUUGGCUUUUUUAUGUUGUGUAAUUGUCUGAUUUGUAAUUGCUGCUCUCUUGUUAAUCCAUUUGCAAAUAUUUACCUCUGUUCUGUUCAGAUUGAACAUUCUGGAAUUACUUGACAAGUCAAAAUCCUACAUUUCUCUUUGGCUGUUUAAAUGGUUAUUAUUGAUCUCAAAAAUGAUUGCUUAUAAUUUAAUUUUUCAUUAGUCUUACUUUUUAAGUAAGAAAGUAAAGUUACUUUCUUCAAAAGAUAAUAUUUGACCAAAUUUUUAAGGAAAGCAGAGAUGUUUCCAAUGAGUGUUUUAUAUAUCUAUAAAACUGGCUCACUGAGUUACUUGCAAGGGUAACAUACAAUGUACAUAACAGUCUAUAUCGUAUCAGUACCAACCAAGAACAGGGUGUGGGUCUUAAAGCUAGAGAAAAUUGCUGGAUCAUGAAGAGGGGCUCCCGGGAGAGCGACUGGCUAGCUGAAGUAGCGGUGUCAAAAAGACUCAGCUGGCCAUCCAUUCUAUUGUUUGAAGAGCUGUGUCAAGAUUCUAGAUUCUAUCUUGAUGUAGGCCAGUUGACAGAUACAGCAACUUACAAUACAUUCUAAUGAAGCAGCAUGACACUGAAGAAAGAGCAUGGACUACAGAGUCAGAAAGGCCAAGGCUGGAUUCUGCCUUUACAGUUGCUAGUUGUGUGACCCUGGGCAAAUUUCUUACCCUGUGGAUAUCAAAUUUCCUUCUCUGUAAAGGAACACAGCAAUGUCCUCCACGUGGGGUUGCCAGAAGGAUAGGGGUAGCAUGGGUGAAACACAGCACCUGGCCUACAGCAAGUGUGAAGUCGCUGAGAGUGGUCGCCAUCAUUCCCUCCAUGUCUGUGAUCCCAUUCUCUCGGGAUGCUCUUUCCUCCUUGGAAAACCUUUUCCUGGGCUCUUCGUCUUCUGCCCCUGCCUUAAACAUGGCUGCUCGCUGGGAUUCCUUCCCACAUCUGUCUUUUGUUCUCUUUCUGCACAUUCUCUCCGCAAUCUCAUUCACCACCUUGACUUCUGCCAUAACCUCAGCAAUGACUUCCUAAUCUGAAUCAUGGUUCAACAUUUCUCCUGGCCUCCAAAUCCAGCUUCUUACUAGUAAUCUCUGAUUGAAUAUCCUACAGGGAUCUCAGACUCCUCAUGUCCCUAUUGAACUCAUCUCAGACUGUUUCCUUACGUCUCCUAACUUGGUUAAAGUAGCACUAUUCAAUUACUCUCUUAAGCCAAAAACCUGAGGGUCAUCUUUGAAGAUUCACUACCAUUUUUAUACCCAAAUAUGUCAUCCAUUCCUGUCAAUUUGCCUCUAAAAUAUCUUUUCAUCCCCACUGUCUUAGUUUAGGCCCCCAUUCUUUCUCUGCUGUAAGGUAGAUUUCCCAGUUUCCAACAUCAACCCUCUCCAGCCUAUAGCAAGCCCAAGAGAAUAAUUUUUUUCAUUUUGCUAUUACUUUCUUUUAAAAAGUUUAUUAUGCCCUAAAUGACUAUUUACUGUAAAAAGAGUAGAAAAUACAAAUAAAUAAAAAUAAGAAAUAAAAAAUAUCUGUAAUGUACCAGCUAGAUGAAACAACUUGCUAAAAAUUUGGUAUAUAUUCUUUCAAACUAUUUUAAACAUACAAAUAAUAAAACACUAUGUAAGGUUGAAUCCUUGAUGAGACAAGAUUGAAAAGAAACUGAACUUAAAUUUGCAAUCUGACCUGCACUGGGCAAUUGAUGGUAAACACACUGUGCCAAUAAAUUAAAGUCAGACCAUUGCUUGGUGAUUGACUAUUGGCUGAUUUUAUUUUAAAGGCCCAUAUGGUUGAAUCACAUACCUUUCUUGAGGCUGUGGUUUCUCCUCAAAAAGAAAAAAAAUAUGUCGUUGAUGUCAGUCAUCCUAGCAGCGGUCAAUCCUGGAGCAUGAGACAAGGCAAGCUGAGGUGAGGUAAAAGGCUUUUCUCUUUGACUCCAGAAGGUCCUUUAGUCUAAACCCUGAGGAACAGGAUUCCAGGGAAUUUCCAGUGAAGGAACAGCUAUGGCUACAUGGAGGAACCUGGGAGCAAACCAGCCUUAUUAGGGAUCAAGGGUAAGCCCUGGGAAUGAGCAGUAGAAAUUCUGAGUUAUCCUGCGUGUGCUUCAUCCUUCCCAAUAUUCCCAAAACUACAGUGAGACUGGAUGGAAGUUACAGCCUGCUUCCUGCUGAACUGUGGGGAAAUAAGAGAAAGGUUCCAUUUGAUGCUUGAGACAAGAUUAAAUGAUGAGAAAAUGCGACUAGAAAGGCUGGACAGAGCCAAGACAGCCAGGUUUGCUGACCGCUGCUUUAGGUGUCUGUAUUAAUCCACCGGCUGAGUUGUGCUGCAGAAGGAAAUGAUUGAAAACCGCAGUGGCUUACAACAAAGGGGCACUUCUCACUCAUGUGACAUGACCUUUGAGGGUCAGCUUUGAUGUUUCACUCCAGGCUGCAGGCUGGAAGAGCAGACCCCAUAUGGAACAGUGCUGAUUUAGGAAAGAGGGAGAAGAGAGAAGGCAGAAUCACAAUAUCUCUUGAAGCAGGUCAAACAGUAUGAGUCCUACAAUGAGUACGGCCUCAGAAUGCUAUGUGUUCCGAGGGUGACAAAGGAAGCUCAGAGCCUCUGGAUUCCUGGCAAGACCCUCCACCUCACUCUCCCCCAUGCUGGCACUCACAGCCUCCUCUUCGCUCUUUGCUUGGAGAAUCUCAGGAUCCAUCUCACCAUUUCCCUUGCAUCACAGAUUGAGUUUCCUGAGCAGGAGAUUUGAACACAGAUGGUUCACUGGGGAGUUCUCUCAGCAUCGCCAGCUGUCGGGGGAAUGGAAGGCAGCAGAAUGGGCCUGGGCAGAGUAGUGGCAGCAGAGGCCCGCCAAGAUCCUGUAAUGCCAGGAAGAGUUCCGAAACUUUGAUGAUUUUUUAGAGUGGCUAUGAGGAAGGUAUAAAUGGAAAUACAGCCCAGGUGGUUGUGGACAGCCAAAAUAGAACUUCUAGAAGUGAAGUUGACAUUGACAAGGGCAGACAGAUGUAGAGUUAACCUGGUCUUGGAGGACAUUGGUGAGCAACUCAAUCAAAUCAAUCCUGAAACCAACCCUACCUCUAGCACUCGUCAUAAAGAGCAGAGGUCCCAAGCCAUCUAAUGUCACGGAUGCAGUAUCCAGAGAGUCUCUCAUUUCAAUAACUUCCUAUAAGGAAGACUGGUUUGAUUUUCAAGGUCCCUGGACUACAGAGAACGUGAGCUCUUGCUGCAAGUCACCUGCCUCUAAGAGACAUAAAUAACCACAACUGGCAGAAAAUAAAGCAGGCAAUCUCUGGAAAUGCCUGGAUAAAUUAAAAUGAAAUACAACCCAAGACUCCAGCACUGUAGACUCCGUUGAAUGCUGUGUUGCCAGUCAGCAGGAUUGCAAAGCCAUGAUAUGAAACCAGCAGGGAGAACAGCUUUGUUUUUGGAUGAUCCUGCUUGUCUGACCUCUGACCUCCUCCCUUCUCAUCUGUGCUUUCAUGAGAUAAACACUACAGAUUGCUCCAGAGGAAGGCUACGGAAAUGCUGAAGACCAUAUGACAAUUCCUUUUAAAGUCAGGUAUUCAAUUGUGAAAGAUGUGCGAACAAUCUAAUGAUGGAUGUUCAUUAGUUCACUGCUGUCAAGACGAGUUACUACUCCACAUCUCUGAUACUGAUCGUGUUUUCGCAGUCAUGAUUGAGUUGUUGAAGAGAAAACACUUCACAGAGCUCUCUCGACUGUGUCCAAACCAGCAGCAACUUGAAAUAUCAUUGGCUUACUCAGCAGCAUCGAAACCCACAAAGUGAAUAGGUUAGAUCCAUCCAGAGACUUUUCUGCAGCAGCAAAUGGAUUUGCCCCUUUUAGAACAGGGAGCACAGUUCCAACACAGUUACUCUUAUUGGAACAGACUAAGGAAUUUACUUCAAAUGCGGUUUCUGGUUGUCCUGUGGAAGCUAUGUCAGAAUAAAUAUUCAACUACUCUUCAGAGGCGU
Molecule: long non-coding RNA, 10871 nt
Organism: Equus asinus (donkey)
Lineage: Eukaryota; Metazoa; Chordata; Mammalia; Perissodactyla; Equidae
Source: Ensembl